CCUACGGGAGGCAGCAGUGGGGAAUAUUGCACAAUGGGGGCAACCCUGAUGCCUCGCCGCCGCUUGCUUGAAGAAGUAAUUCUUUACGUAAAGCUCUAUCAGCAGGGAAGAAACACUGACCUUACGGUCAGCAGACGGUACCUGAGUAAGAAGCCCCGUCUAACUACGUGCCAGCAGCCGCGGUAAUACGUAGGGGGCAAGCGUUAUCCGGAUUUACUGGGGGGAAAGGGAGCGUAGACGGUGCGGCAAGUCUGGAGGGAAAUGCCGCAGCUUAACUGCGGAACUGCGUGGGAAACUGGCGAACUAGAGUGCGGGAGGGGUAAGCGGAAUUCCUAGUGUAGCGGUGAAAUGCGUAGAUAUUAGGAGGAACACCGGUGGCGAAGGCGGCUUACUGGACCGUAACUGACGUUGAGGCUCGAAAGCGUGGGGAGCAAACAGGAUUAGAUACCCGAGUAGUC
RNAcentral lists this ribosomal RNA (458 nucleotides) under uncultured bacterium. Its description in RNAcentral is "partial 16S ribosomal RNA". It matches the Rfam family "Bacterial small subunit ribosomal RNA", at positions 338 to 795 of the family's 1533-position model. The record is from RNAcentral.